GGUUAAGCGACUAAGCGUACACGGUGGAUGCCCUGGCAGUCAGAGGCGAUGAAGGACGUGCUAAUCUGCGAAAAGCGUCGGUAAGGUGAUAUGAACCGUUAUAACCGGCGAUGUCCGAAUGGGGAAACCCAGUGCAAUUCGUUGCACUAUCGUUAACUGAAUACAUAGGUUAACGAGGCGAACCGGGGGAACUGAAACAUCUAAGUACCCCGAGGAAAAGAAAUCAACCGAGAUUCCCCCAGUAGCGGCGAGCGAACGGGGAGCAGCCCAGAGUCUGAAUCAGCUUGUGUGUUAGUGGAACGGUCUGGAAAGUCCGACGGUACAGGGUGAUAGUCCCGUACACCAAAAUGCACAGGUUGUGAACUCGAAGAGUAGGGCGGGACACGUGGUAUCCUGUCUGAAUAUGGGGGGACCAUCCUCCAAGGCUAAAUACUCCUGACUGACCGAUAGUGAACCAGUACCGUGAGGGAAAGGCGAAAAGAACCCCGGCGAGGGGAGUGAAAAAGAACCUGAAACCGUGUACGUACAAGCAGUGGGAGCACCUUCGGGUGUGACUGCGUACCUUUUGUAUAAUGGGUCAGCGACUUAUAUUCUGUAGCAAGGUUAACCGUAUAGGGGAGCCGCAGGGAAACCGAGUCUUAACUGGGCGUUAAGUUGCAGGGUAUAGACCCGAAACCCGGUGAUCUAGCCAUGGGCAGGUUGAAGGUUGGGUAACACUAACUGGAGGACCGAACCGACUAAUGUUGAAAAAUUAGCGGAUGACUUGUGGCUGGGGGUGAAAGGCCAAUCAAACCGGGAGAUAGCUGGUUCUCCCCGAAAGCUAUUUAGGUAGCGCCUCGUGAAUUCAUCUUCGGGGGUAGAGCACUGUUUCGGCUAGGGGGUCAUCCCGACUUACCAACCCGAUGCAAACUACGAAUACCGAAGAAUGUUAUCACGGGAGACACACGGCGGGUGCUAACGUCCGUCGUGAAGAGGGAAACAACCCAGACCGCCAGCUAAGGUCCCAAAGUCAUGGUUAAGUGGGAAACGAUGUGGGAAGGCACAGACAGCCAGGAUGUUGGCUUAGAAGCAGCCAUCAUUUAAAGAAAGCGUAAUAGCUCACUGGUCGAGUCGGCCUGCGCGGAAGAUGUAACGGGGCUAAACCAUGCACCGAAGCUGCGGCAGCGACACUAUGUGUUGUUGGGUAGGGGAGCGUUCUGUAAGCCUGCGAAGGUGUGCUGUGAGGCAUGCUGGAGGUAUCAGAAGUGCGAAUGCUGACAUAAGUAACGAUAAAGCGGGUGAAAAGCCCGCUCGCCGGAAGACCAAGGGUUCCUGUCCAACGUUAAUCGGGGCAGGGUGAGUCGACCCCUAAGGCGAGGCCGAAAGGCGUAGUCGAUGGGAAACAGGUUAAUAUUCCUGUACUUGGUGUUACUGCGAAGGGGGGACGGAGAAGGCUAUGUUAGCCGGGCGACGGUUGUCCCGGUUUAAGCAUGUAGGCUGGUUGUCCAGGCAAAUCCGGAUAAUCAAGGCUGAGGUGUGAUGACGAGGCACUACGGUGCUGAAGUAACAAAUGCCCUGCUUCCAGGAAAAGCCUCUAAGCAUCAGGUAACAUCAAAUCGUACCCCAAACCGACACAGGUGGUCAGGUAGAGAAUACCAAGGCGCUUGAGAGAACUCGGGUGAAGGAACUAGGCAAAAUGGUGCCGUAACUUCGGGAGAAGGCACGCUGGUGUGUAGGUGAAGUCCCUGCGGAUGGAGCUGAGACCAGUCGAAGAUACCAGCUGGCUGCAACUGUUUAUUAAAAACACAGCACUGUGCAAACACGAAAGUGGACGUAUACGGUGUGACGCCUGCCCGGUGCCGGAAGGUUAAUUGAUGGGGUUAUCCGUAAGGAGAAGCUCUUGAUCGAAGCCCCGGUAAACGGCGGCCGUAACUAUAACGGUCCUAAGGUAGCGAAAUUCCUUGUCGGGUAAGUUCCGACCUGCACGAAUGGCGUAAUGAUGGCCAGGCUGUCUCCACCCGAGACUCAGUGAAAUUGAACUCGCUGUGAAGAUGCAGUGUACCCGCGGCAAGACGGAAAGACCCCGUGAACCUUUACUAUAGCUUGACACUGAACA
RNAcentral lists this ribosomal RNA (2095 nucleotides) under Klebsiella pneumoniae. RNAcentral describes it as "partial 23S ribosomal RNA". It matches the Rfam family "Bacterial large subunit ribosomal RNA", at positions 1 to 2123 of the family's 2925-position model. The record is from RNAcentral. Lineage: Bacteria; Pseudomonadati; Pseudomonadota; Gammaproteobacteria; Enterobacterales; Enterobacteriaceae.